Molecule: unclassified non-coding RNA, 346 nt
Filed under: uncultured Microascaceae
Lineage: Eukaryota; Fungi; Ascomycota; Sordariomycetes; Microascales
Description: sequence contains ITS1
Rfam family: 5.8S ribosomal RNA (bases 1-105)
Source: RNAcentral
GAAAUGCGAUACUUGGUGUGAAUUGCAGAAUUCAGUGAAUCAUCGAAUCUUUGAACGCACAUUGCGCCCGGCAGCAAUCUGCCGGGCAUGCCUGUCCGAGCGUCAUUUCUGCCCUCGAGCAGCGGUUCCCGUCACCUCCGGGGGACGGGGGGCCGCCCGCUCGGUGUUGGGGCGCUGCGGGCCGCUCGAGCCCGCAGGCCCCGAAAUGAAGUGGCGGUCCCGCCGCGGCGCCCCCUGCGUAGUAAGUCUCAGGACCUCGCAUCGGGCCCCGGCGUCGGCCAGCCGUCGAACCUGUCUCUCUAGAUGGUUUGACCUCGGAUCAGGUAGGGUUACCCGCUGAACUUAA